Long non-coding RNA from Branchiostoma floridae (Florida lancelet), 306 nucleotides. RefSeq lists it as uncharacterized. NCBI's taxonomy places the organism in Eukaryota, Metazoa, Chordata, Leptocardii, Amphioxiformes, Branchiostomatidae. The record is from RefSeq and is a predicted model, not a curated record. The transcript is spliced from 2 exons.
CCUUUAUGAAGCGGUACAACGUUGUUCCAGUUUCCGCACGCUCGGAGCAGAGCCCGACCUUUUUUAUCAAGAAAGAGUCGGAGGCUUCAACUUAUCACUGGUAGCUCUAUGGUUAGGUUCGGCGAUUCUGGGCAUUGCAUUUUGUGGACCAGCCAGCAUUCAGCAACCCGAAAAGCUGAGGGACCAGGCCUCAAGAUGCUCGUCAGGUCGGCAGACAACCUCGAGUUUGUAGCGAGAUUUCAGGUGAUUUGAUUUUUGUUUAUGAGCCGAUUUGCUUUUUGUUGGGUUUCUCGCUUGACAGGUUCU